AGUGAACGCUGGCGGUAGGCCUAACACAUGCAAGUCGAACGGCAGCACAGUAAGAGCUUGCUCUUACGGGUGGCGAGUGGCGGACGGGUGAGGAAUACAUCGGAAUCUACUUUUUCGUGGGGGAUAACGUAGGGAAACUUACGCUAAUACCGCAUACGACCUACGGGUGAAAGCAGAGGAUCUUCGGACCUUGCGCGAUUGAAUUAGCCGAUGUCGGAUUAGCUAGUUGGCGGGGUAAAGGCCCACCAAGGCGACGAUCCGUAGCUGGUCUGAGAGGAUGAUCAGCCACACUGGAACUGAGACACGGUCCAGACUCCUACGGGAGGCAGCAGUGGGGAAUAUUGGACAAUGGGCGCAAGCCUGAUCCAGCCAUACCGCGUGGGUGAAGAAGGCCUUCGGGUUGUAAAGCCCUUUUGUUGGGAAAGAAAAGCAGCAGGUUAAUACCCCGCUGUUCUGACGGUACCCAAAGAAUAAGCACCGGCUAACUUCGUG
RNAcentral lists this ribosomal RNA (492 nucleotides) under uncultured bacterium. RNAcentral describes it as "partial 16S ribosomal RNA". It matches the Rfam family "Bacterial small subunit ribosomal RNA", at positions 29 to 507 of the family's 1533-position model. The record is from RNAcentral.